CAUGCGGGCAGCGAGGGGGAGCUGUUCUCCACCCCGCCCCCCAUGGUGCACUCAGGCAGCGCCUGCACCCUGGACUCCAGUGUGGCCGGGGCUGAGGAGUCUGACCCCGGUGAGGACGCCGAGUCGCCCCCCUUCUGCCUGGCCAAGGAGCCGCUCUCCAUUGCUGACGAGAUCCUGGAGCUACUCAGCCAGCGGGGUCUGAGCAGGGAGCUGGGAACCGAGGAGACGCCCUGGGAGCAGGGGGACCCAGACCUUGGGAGUCCAGUUCCACAGCCGGAACAGGACCUGCCUUCGAACCCAGCCGCACUGGAAGAACUAGCCAAGGAAAGCAAAGUUCAAGAGGGAGAUGCCACUGGGCGAGAUGAGCUUCCAUCCAGUAGCCUAGGCAUGAUGCAGACCCCCCCACCACGCCAGCUCUCCAGCAGCGAAUCGGAGGAAGAAUCGAAGCAGGAUCGGGACCCUUCUCCUCUCUGUGUCCUUGAGGACCUGGGUGCAGAAGAGGCCCACGGCAAGCCACAAGGCCUGGCAGAGGAUAAAGCCAUGCGUACAGGGCGGGAGGCGUCAAGUGGGCACCUGGAUGGGGCCUGCCCUCCGCGCAGGGAUGGCUCAGGCCGGCUGGCCCUGCGCCCCUGCAGCCCGGCAGAUGUUGCCAAGCGGGACUCAACACUGACGCGAGACGACCGGCUGCUGAUCGAGAAGAUCAAGUUCUACUAUGAGGAGGGUGAGGCUGCCCCACACCCUGCCAGUGGGAUGCAGGACUGUGGGCUCCACCUCAGCCCACCCCUCCAGCAGGAGGGUGCUGCGGACCACGAGGGAGGUGGGGCUUGGUGGGCCAAGGCCCAUCCUGCCGUUCAGGAGGAGGCUGGGAAGGGGCGGAGCCAGCUAAUUGACCAACGCAACCAAUCUGGCACCAACCAAGAGGAUGCUGGGAAGGGGCGGAGCCAGCUCAUUGACCUAGGCACCCAGCCUGGUGCCAUCCAAGAGGAUGCUGGGAAGGUGGGGGGCCAACCCACCAGCCAUGCUGCCCCACCCCCCGAGAACCAGGAGCCUGAGUACAAGUCGUGUGCGGAGAUCCGGCGGGCCUGGCGGGAGAAGGAGCGGGGGGCAGUGCACACCCUGGGAUCCAGUGCCCCCCCGCAGGAAGCGGGGCAGCAAAGGGCCACCCACCACCCGUGAGCCUCCACCAUUCCUGGAGCCCUUGCGGAUUGUGGAGGAAUCGGAUCUGGCUGCCUCACCCCGGGGCAAUGGAGUCCCUUCUGCCAGCUACACCCCCCCACCAGGGUUAUACGAGGAUGGCACUCCUUGUCUGCUGGAGAACUCGGAGCGGAUCCUCAGUAAGGUGCAGGCCCUGGCACGGAUGUACAGCGAGAAGAUUGGCCAGGCCAAGGCAGCCCAGAGGGCGCAGGGAGGGCUGCGCCGCCCAGCACCCAGCCGGACCGGCACCCUUGAAAGCCUGCGGGAGGAGACGCUGGGGACCUUCCUCCCUCACUGCGAGCCCCGAAUCUAUGGCCAUGUGCUCAUCCGCGAGCCCCCCCUGCAUGUGAACUGUGUCCAGGAGAAUGUGCCGCUGGUGGCUGCUGCUCGAGGGACCGCCACGGAUCUGCGCAGCAAUCAGCCUCCAUCUCUCCUGGCCUCCCUGCGACAGGCCUCGUCCUUCACAGCAGAGCUAGGACCCGCCUGGCCGCAGAUUCCAAGCUCUGGCUCCCCAGGGGCUGUUCUGCUUCCCUCAGCGCAGCUGGAAUCGGCCAAGGAGUGCCCCCCAUCCCCAGAGAUAAGUGGGGAGCCCCUGAGACCAGAGGAGCCGGCUGGGGAAGAGCCCUGCACAGACAGCUCUCCUGCACCCAUUCCCCUCACCCGGAGUGGAUCCAGUAUGGCAGCCGAAGCCCCUGACUCCCAGAGAGCCGAGGGCCCAUCGGUGCCAGGUUGCCAAGCUGAGGCCAGGAGGGCAGAACCAAUGGCCCAUGGGCGACAGGGUGAGCUGAGCCAUGGGGAGGUUUCCGCAGAGGCAGCCAUGUCUCAUCCUUUGGGGGAAGUGGUGCUGAGCCAGCGGCGGCCAGAGCUGGACGGAGCAGCAGAGGAUCAGCAGCCUGUGCCAUCCAGCACCUCCGUGGUGUGUGCUGGCACAUCCACCGAGUCUGAUCUGCAGGAGCUGGGCUCCUCCAUCUCUAAGCCUAGUCCUGGGAAGCAGAGCCAGCCCAUUGCUGUCCUGCUUCCAGAGAAGCGGACCUCGGCUUUGGGCAGAGAUUCCCCACCUGCCACCAAUGAGUGGCUCCCAGAGCCAUUGCCGGGACCCGUCAGCCUCGGGACAAGAGAGGCAUCCCCACCUCCUGCACCCAGCCCCGUCCCGCCAGGAGCAGCGGAGCAUUUCAAGCCCACUCCUGCGCCCUCCAGUGCCACAGGCUUCCUACACCUGCUCCACAGCAACUUCCUGGUCCCAUCAGCUCUACCCUCCUCUGGCACCUGGCUUCCUUCCCAGCCCAGCCACCCCACAGCCCAGUCAGCUCCUACUUCUCCGCUAAGCCCCCACCGAGCUCUGCUGCACCGCCAGCCCUCCUCCCCAGCCUACCGGCGCAUCUCAUCCAGUGCUGCAGCCAUCUCCAGGUACAUCGCUGCCUCUUGCAUCAGCCAGAGCCUGGCUAAGAGAAAUGGUGCCCCCUUGGGGCCACCUGGUACCCAGCCUCCACCCACAGAGACCCCAGCCCCCACCCGGCCUCUGCCUCCUUGCUCAGCUGUUCCAAAAGUGACCCCCUCCCCCUUAGCACCACCCAGCACCCACCCUCUGCCCGUAGAGACGCCAGCUCCCACCCGGCCUCUGCCUCCUUGCUCAGCUGUCCCUAAGCCACCCCCCUGCCCCUUGGGGUCAGCUGCCACCCAGCCACUGCCGGCAGAGAACCUGGCCCCCACCCGGCCUCUGCCUCCUUGCUCAGCUGUCCCUAGGCCGCCCCCCUGCUCAUUGGGGUCAGCUGCCACCCAGCCUCUGCCUCCUUGCUCAGCCGUUCCUAGACCACCCCUCUGCCCCUUGGGCCCCAAAGCCCCAGCACCCCUGUCGGCUCCUGUCCCCAAUGAGAAGGCCAACAUCUUGUCCCAUUAUACCAACCAGAGGGACCCUUCCCGGCAUAGCCUCUGCUCUCUCCGCCCUUCCAGCCCUGGGUUGAUCUCUCCCCCAGGCUGUUGCCUUGAUGCCAGCUUGCUGGGGGAGCCCAUCCCCCUGGUGUCUGGCUCAGCCGUGCUACUGGCCUUUGAGCGCCUCUCGGGUGCGGCCCCCCAGGUUGAGCAGCCCUCCCUUUUCUCCUCCGCCUCAGAGCCCAGCUCCAGAGUCCAGUCCCCAGCACCAGCCUGCCCACGGAUGUGCUCCGCCCCUCCCUCCAGCUGGCACCUGGCUGUGGGGAGAGCCAGCCACACCCCCCAACGGCCCUGCUCCUUCGCCCCUGUGCUGCCCAGCUCCCACCCCUCUGUCACAUUACCUCAGAGAGGCAGGAGGCUGAGGGGAACCCUUGAGAAACCCCCAUCCCCCAGCGGUGGAGAGAGGGUGGGCGGCUGCUCUGGGGCACCCUGUACCGGCUCAGCCAGCCCCAGCCCAGAUGAACUGGAUGGUAUCAAGUGGCCGGACGUCCCCAACUUGCGUUCCCGGUACACGGGCUGGGAGGGUGAGGCAGGGCCACCGGGUUCACCAGAGGGGUACCGCAAAGCAAGAGCGGACCUGGCCCGGGACCUGGGCCCCCAUCGGGCCAGCUACUCCACCACUGUCAACAUCCAGAUCGGGGGAAGUGGCCGGAUUGCUUCCUUCAGCAACGCUCAGGUCAGCCUCACCCAACCGCUGCUGGCCGUGCCCGGCCAGCCCAGCAUCAGGCGCAUCAAUGGGAGCACCUUGGAGACCCCGCAGAAAACGUGACAGGUGGUGGGGCGGGGCAACCACAAGAUCCUGGCUCCGCACACGCCCAGCACCCAUGAUCAUACGGACAGUACAGCGGGGAAUUGUUCUUGAUGCACCGGAAUUGGCUGGUAUAGGGUCAAGGAGGCCAGAUUGUCCUAAAUUGGCACUUCUCUCUUGAUGCCAGCUGGGGAUCUGGGCGGAUGAGGCCAGCUGAACUCCAUCCAUCUGUGCCAUUCAGCAACUGCCUCCAUCUCCUCCCAGGCCAGGACUGAUCUGUGGGGCUGGGUCUGUAAAAGCCCUGUGUCCCCAGCCAGAUGGCUGCAGCAUCCACAAGCCAGCAAACAAAGCCUUCGCUCUCCUCUAUGCCUAUCCCUUUAGGGGGGCGAGCAACUGUUGGGGGUGGCUUUGAUUGGUUUUUUUAACUGUCUGGUUCAUCCUUCAGCUGGGUGGGCCUCAACCAGGACCAAAGUGAGCAGUGUCUGUACUCCUGCCUGCAUGCCCCCUUAUCCAAGCCAGCAUGCAUGUCUUCACAUGCACUCCCAGCCAGUAGGGGAUGGUGGAUUUGCACACCCAAACUCCCUCCCCCCCCCCAGCCGGCAGGGGGCAGUACAGACAAACAUAUUUAAAACUUGGGGCAGUUUCAUGCAACCCCCUCCCAUUGUGUGACUGGUUAAGUCAAUCUGCUCUGUGCCUCGUUUUCCCCCAUGGGGAGAAUAAUCAUUUUGAUCAUGGACUCUGGGACAGUGUCUGUCACUUGCUCUGUGCACAGUGUACAUGGGGGCCCUCCCCAACUGGGUGCUACCGUAAUUCAUCUAAUAUAAUCAUAAACUGCUGCUCUGGUGCAGUUUAUUCCCCACACCCUAAAAUGUGUGGAAGUGGACGUUGCUUUCUCUGGCCUCAACGAACUGUUAGUUGGCCCCAGGAUUGCAGUGUGCCAGAAACAAGGCAGUCAAAGUCACCUCUUUAUGAAGGCUAAAGGCACCUUAAGCAGAGAAAAUUUGCCCAUAAAAAUCACAGUGGACAAUCGGGUUGAAAAUUUUAUUUUUUAAGUGUUGGUGUCAAGAUCAACAUUGAAAUGAACAGUGCAAUGCCGGUCAAUCCCAUUGACACCAGUGGAGAGAUGACCUGUUUAAAUUAGGUGGAGAGCCGGGCCCUACAGAUUGGCAACUUCCAAUUGAUUCCAGAAUGGUUAUUUUUCCCUCCUCCUUGCACGUAGCCCACCCAUAACUCAAAACCACCACUCAGUUUCUUCCCAGCUUUCCCUGUAGCUGAGGACAGUGUGAUAUUCUAGUUGAUUUCUGACAAAUUCAAGAUGCAAAGCUAUAGUUUGUUUAAAUAUUACACUUGUAAAGACCUUCCAGACAGCAAUUCUGGGUUGUGAUUUGGACUAAACUUCUUGGAAUGUUUGAAUCCCUGCUCGUUUGCCUUGAAGUUAACAAAGGAAAAUUGUGUGUGUGUCUCCUUUCUCCAAAAGGGGAAACCAGGAAGAGGCUGGCUAUAAAAUGAGAGUAAUAAAAUAAAUACUGGCUCCUUAGAGAAGUGGUUACGGCUAUUUUGAGGGGAGGGAGGGUGCAGUUUGCAAUGAGUUUUUCUGCUUUGUUUCUAAAGCUGGAGCUGCAGAAUGGUAUAAGGAGAUUUAAAAUUGAAGCAGCAGGCAGAUAGAGUGCCCUGGUAUUUAACAUGGAGCCUUCCAGACAUAAUCAUUUAGCUACAUGUUUCUACAAAUUAUUUCACAGCCUGCAAUUGGGAAAAAAAAAUCUCUGGAGUUAUUAGCUACUGUACCACCAAUGAUGUAUUAGCUACAUGUUUGUGUCCAUUGGAGAUUAAAACUUUUUUUUCUCCGCGGAUGGCUGUGAGCAAUGCUAACCUUAAG
Molecule: long non-coding RNA, 5747 nt
Organism: Pelusios castaneus (West African mud turtle)
Lineage: Eukaryota; Metazoa; Chordata; Testudines; Pelomedusidae
Source: Ensembl